This 502-nucleotide ribosomal RNA is filed under the name uncultured bacterium. RNAcentral describes it as "bacterial SSU rRNA". It matches the Rfam family "Bacterial small subunit ribosomal RNA", at positions 33 to 518 of the family's 1533-position model. The record is from RNAcentral.
GAGACGCUGGCGGCGUGCCUAACACAUGCAAGUCGAGCGGGGACAUACGACGGAUCGGAAGUUUUCGGAUGGAAGAGAAGAUGUAUGUUCUAGCGGCGGACGGGUGAGUAACGCGUGAGCAACCUGUCCUUCACAGGGGGAUAACACAGCGAAAGUUGUACUAAUACCGCAUGAGACCACAUUGGGACAUCCCAGAGAGGUCAAAGGAGCAAUCCGGUGAAGGGUGGGCUCGCGUCCGAUUAGAUAGUUGGUGAGGUAACGGCCCACCAAGUCGACGAUCGGUAGCCGACCUGAGAGGGUGAUCGGCCACAUUGGGACUGAGACACGGCCCAAACUCCUACGGGAGGCAGCAGUGGGGAAUAUUGGGCAAUGGGGGGAAACCCUGACCCAGCAACGCCGCGUGAGGGAAGAAGGUUUUCGGAUCGUAAACCUCUGUCCUUGGUGAAGAGUAAGAGACGGUAGCCAAGGAGGAAGCCCCGGCUAACUACGUGCCAGCCGCUGC